UCAAACUUGGUCAUUUAGAGGAAGUAAAAGUCGUAACAAGGUUUCCGUAGGUGAACCUGCGGAAGGAUCAUUAUUGAAUUAUGAAUUUGGUUGGGCUGUUGCUAGCUUUCUCUGAAGCAUGUGCACGCCUGGCUCAAACUUCUUAACCACCUGUGCACCUUUUGUAGAUCCUCUUAGAAUAAACAAUGCUCGAGUUUUCUCGGUCUUGGAGAUAUUGCAUGACUUUUGCCAUGCUUUCUCUGGUAUUCCUUGGGGGUCUAUGUCUUUUUAAUUAACACUGUCAUUGAAUGUUAAUCAUUGGCUUUUGUUGCCAUUAAUUUAUAUACAACUUUCAACAACGGAUCUCUUGGCUCUCGCAUCGAUGAAGAACGCAGC
Molecule: unclassified non-coding RNA, 375 nt
Filed under: uncultured fungus
Lineage: Eukaryota; Fungi
Description: partial contains small subunit ribosomal RNA, internal transcribed spacer 1, and 5.8S ribosomal RNA
Rfam family: Eukaryotic small subunit ribosomal RNA (bases 1-73)
Source: RNAcentral